CACGUAGUUAGCCGGGGCUUCUUAGUCAGGUACCGUCCUCCUUCUUCCCUGCCGAUAGGGCUUUGCGCGCCGAAACGCUCCUUCACCCACGCGGCGUCGCUGCAUCAGGGUUCCCCCCAUUGUGCAAUAUCCCCCACUGCUGCCUCCCGUAGGAGUCUGGGCCGUGUCUCAGUCCCAGUGUGGCCGUCCGCCCUCUCAGGCCGGCUACUGAUCGUCGCCUUGGUAGGCCGUUACCCUGCCAACCAGCUAAUCAGACGCGGGCCCAUCCUGUACCACCGGAGUUUUCAGGGGGUGCCAUGCGGCUCCCCCCGUUAUGCGGUAUUAGCACCUAUUUCUAAGUGUUGUCCCCCUGUACAGGGCAGGUUGCCCACGCGUUACUCACCCGUCCGCCACUCAUGCACGGGGCUUCCGGCCGGAGCCUUCCAUCCCGUACACCCGUUCGACUUGCAUGUGUUAGGCACGCCGCCAGCCGUUCAUCCCUGACGCCAGGACUCAAACUCU
RNAcentral lists this ribosomal RNA (501 nucleotides) under uncultured Lachnospiraceae bacterium. Its description in RNAcentral is "partial 16S ribosomal RNA". Lineage: Bacteria; Bacillati; Bacillota; Clostridia; Lachnospirales; Lachnospiraceae. The record is from RNAcentral.